GCACAACAUAAUUAAGGUCAUAGAUCAUAAGAUAAUUAAGGUCAUUACACAAUUAUGGUCAUAGGUCAUACACUCAUACUUGAUCCCACCCAACAAAACCAUAUCUUAAAACUCUUAACUUGAAUGCAUCUUAGCCUCCGCUAGCUUGUCGUCAACAUACCAAUCUGCAAUUUAGGAAGAAAGAUCAAAAGUUAAAGAAAAAACAGACAAUAAUCCGCAGAGAUCUCAUGAAAUUGACAUAAUAAACAAGUAUCAUCUACCUUUAAAUAUAGAUUUAGAUUCCUGGUUUAGGACUUGGUCUGCAGAGAACUGGGAAAGGAUCCUUCUGCCCUAAGAAUUUGAUAACCUUGGCUUGGUACUCAACAAGAGGCCCAUCACGAUACUCCCGAGCCAUAAAAGUGAUGUAAAACCUCCACGCAGCUGCUCCCCUUUCAGUAGCUCUCACAACAUUUACCAAUUCCAAAGUCUUUUUCUGUGAAAAAUGUAUAAAAAUUCCAAAUGAACCAAAACACGAAAUUCGUGUCCAUUUUCUUAUAAAAAAAAAAAAGGUACUUCUUUCGACUCACUAACCUUGGUUUCGUUGUGUUUCUUAACACACACAUUAGCAAGCUUUGCCAUGAAAUCCCGAGUAGUGUUGUAGCCAUUCAUUUUUUCGUCUAGAUAAACAUUGUAGAUUCCGUUCAGAUGAUCA
This 691-nucleotide long non-coding RNA is filed under the name Arabidopsis lyrata. Its description in RNAcentral is "long non-coding RNA (ALYR_LNC001230)". Lineage: Eukaryota; Viridiplantae; Streptophyta; Magnoliopsida; Brassicales; Brassicaceae. The record is from RNAcentral.